UCCUCUAACUAGACUCUGGACGGGCACUUGCAUACUCUCAACUGUAUUUACGUUCUUGCUGAAGACACGGUCAUCCACUCCUGGUGUCACCCAGACACAUCAGAGAACUAGCGAAGAUUUUGAAAAGGUUUGAACUAAGAAUGAGCCCCAGACUGAGAUGACUUCUAAAAGAGAAACGAAGACCAAGAAAGGCUACGGUUGGGCAUGGAGGAUGCAGGAAACAGGAAGGGAAAUAGGAUAGCACAUUUUAUCUGCUGGUUCGAGCCCGGAGUUGUCUCAUGGACAAGGAGUCCCGUUUUGCAACUAAUAUUGUUAAUCUAAAUCACACUGACCCAGUGAAAGUGAAAGGAAAGCAAAUUUUGUUUUCAAGUGUUCUGAGAAAUAACAUCGUGGAUUAUUGGAGAGUAUUCUGUAUAUGAAAGGAUUGAGAUAACACUCAAAUGAAAACACUGGCUUCUCUUCCUGUCUCUCAUUCAAGUUUACACUGAGGAAUAUGACUUGCGGGGACGGAGUACAGUAAUAGACCCAGAGACUUUCCUGGGCUAUCUUCUCUCCUUUGGUAUGUUAGCAGCUUGGUCAGGGAAGGUGGGGAGAUCAAGGAAGAAUUCAGUGAGCCACGUUGAUCUAAAGGGGAAAGACACCCACUCAGGAUUUCAUGGGCAACUACGUCAUGAUUUACAACAGCCUGUGACUGUAUCCUGUUAUCCUUAAAAAGUGGAUGGGAGCCCCAUCUGUUCUCAGGCUCAUGGGAGAAACUGAGACAUUUUUCCCUGUGUUUCCUGAUUUGAAGUCGACCUAGUUAUUUUUCUUGCAUUGGAGAUGGGUUGGUGCUCAGUGAAACUUAGCCGUCAUAUGUCAGGUGGGCAUGGGUACAUCACUGACUGUGAUAAUCUUAGGCAAAAUAAUGAAGCCAACAAAAUCUGUCAUCAUGCUCCAGCCACUUUUCCUUUCUAUCUUCCUUUCCACAUUUUCAGCCUCAGUGUCAAUUUCAAUUCUCAGCCCUCAUGCAGACCUUAACUGACUGGUUUUUCCUUUGGAAGUGAACCUCUAGCACUUUAAUUCUUUACCAUUAAAAUAUACCACCCCUUGAUAUUCUUCCUUCUACUAAAUACUAAAGGGAUGUUAUUGUGGGGAUUUUUAAUCUAAUGCGCUGUAGUUUACAAGAUAUUUGCCAUAAUUAACAAGGCUUCUAGUAUCUCCAGUCACUAAGUAUUGGUGAGGAAAUAUUUUUGUCAGAAAAGGCCUUCCAAGUAGCCUCAUGAUGACCGUACAUGAAAGAGAUGCUGUAAUUACAGCCAAUGAGGGAUUUCACCUCUGGAUGCAGCAACUCCAUUCUCCAAAUUUCUUGGGCUGAAAUACCUGGAAUUGUCCUUGACUCCUCUCUUUCCCUCACACGCCACAUCAAAUCAUUAGCAAAUCUUAUAAUUCCUAACUUCAUCCUAAAUCUGCUGAUUAUAACCAUCUCCAGUGUCUUUUUUCACCUGCCUCUUGUUUUAGACUCUUGAGCCAGUGAUUCCCAGUAUAGUAUCUUCCCCUAGAAGCAUUUUCAAAACCUAUGGAGCUGUGUUCAUUAGUUAGAGGGGUUGAAGAAGAUAUUAGGCCUUUAAUGGGACAGUGAUGCUAGAUGCUCUUCAUGCACAGAAGAGUCCUCUAGAAAAAAAUAAUUAUCCUCCAUUCUACUUUCCUCUUAAACCUCUCACAUCUAUGGUCAUUCCUGAGCCCAGAAUCGAAUUCAAUGUUAUUUGUAAACACAAAGUGGGUUUCUGUUUUUGUUUUAAUGUGUAGAUGUGUAGGAAUUUUCCAGGAAUGUGCCUGAUGUGUAAAUUGAAGGGAUGUUACAUUUAAUGUUGUUUAAAACUAUUAGAAUAUUUUUCAUUAGCUUAGAAAAUGACAUCACCAUUGACUAUGCUGUUUUUGGUCUUUGAAUUGCCAGUUAAAAACAUUGGUCAGCCCUUUUUAGCUUUCACAUUUACAGCAAACAGACAAAUGAGUGUCAAAAUCUGACCCCUAGUCAUGGUUUUCUAAUGUCUUCUCAUAGGAAAAGACAUUUAUUGAAAUACAUGCUUUUUAAAAUAAAUUAUUUUCCACUCAUUGACGUUUGGUAUUAGAAACAGGGCAUUUGAAAUUUUGUAUUAGUCUAAGUGUCGAUUUAUUUUGGUAAUGAGAUGUAUAGGUAGUUUAUUUAGAAUGGUAAAAA
Molecule: non-coding RNA, 2197 nt
Organism: Sus scrofa (pig)
Lineage: Eukaryota; Metazoa; Chordata; Mammalia; Artiodactyla; Suidae
Source: RefSeq, a predicted model, not a curated record